GCCUCUAGCCUCAUCUGUCUUUACAACUUCUUGAAAAUGGCCACUUGGAAAGAUAAAGAAGAACACAGGACCACUGGGUACACACACUUUGGGAAGCAGGGGCCAGCAUCUGGAUCGCUGCACACAGAUUUCAGGAUACCCUCAGCAGAACAAAAAAGCUUCCAACACCUUCCUUCUAAGAUACUAAUAAGGGAAAGAUGUAAAGGCUGGAAAUAUUGAUUUGAGCAAAUUCUCCCACACCAACCAAC
This is a long non-coding RNA of Chinchilla lanigera (long-tailed chinchilla), 248 nucleotides long. RefSeq lists it as uncharacterized. The record is from RefSeq and is a predicted model, not a curated record. The transcript has 3 exons. NCBI's taxonomy places the organism in Eukaryota, Metazoa, Chordata, Mammalia, Rodentia, Chinchillidae.